AUCCUCAAAGAACUUACAGUCUAGAAUGAGAGGCAGACACAGAAAUAGAAAAUUUCAAGAUCAAAGAAUAAGGACUGAGAACAAUUCCAGAUAUUUGGACAUGAUCUUGAUGAGCCUUCACCUUGCUUUUCUCCUGGAGAAUAUGGGGAAACUGAGGUUUAGCAACACUCAGUGUAACUUGCUGAAGAUGACAGAUCUG
Molecule: long non-coding RNA, 199 nt
Organism: Lontra canadensis (Northern American river otter)
Lineage: Eukaryota; Metazoa; Chordata; Mammalia; Carnivora; Mustelidae
Exons: 3
Source: RefSeq, a predicted model, not a curated record